RNAcentral lists this ribosomal RNA (433 nucleotides) under uncultured bacterium. RNAcentral describes it as "partial 16S ribosomal RNA". It matches the Rfam family "Bacterial small subunit ribosomal RNA", at positions 28 to 507 of the family's 1533-position model. The record is from RNAcentral.
GAUGAACGCUGGCGGCAGGCUUAACACAUGCAAGUCGAGCGGGGACUUCGGUUCUAGCUGCCGAAGGGUGAGUAACGCCUGGGGAACUGGCCUUUUCUACGGAAUCACCCUGGGAAACUGGGAGCAAUAACCUAUCCGCCCUAUGAGGAAAAGAUUUAUCGGGCCAGGGUCGGCCCGCGUUGGAUUAGGUAGUUGGUGGGGUGAUGGCCUAUCAAGCCGCCGAUCCAUAUCUGGUUUGAGAGGCUGAUCACCCACACUGGGACUGAGACACGGCCCAGACUCCUAGGGGAGGGAGCAGGGGGGAAUCUUAGACAAUGGGGGCGACUCUGAGAUAGCCGCGCCGCGUGAGUGAUGAAGGCCUUAGGGGUGAAAAGCUUUUUCAGCUGGGGAGAUAAUGACGGUACCAGCAGAAGAAGCCCCGGCUAACUCCGUG